UCUACAAAAAGACAAUAUUGGUUUAGAGGAGGGUACUCCGCAACCUCUAAUAUGCCUUAAGAGCUUCAAGAAAAGGGGUAAUCCACUCUCUCUAAGAAGAAUAAGACUCCAAUAUUAUAACAAAAGAAGUAUCAGUUUAGAGGAGGGUAAUCCGCAACCUCUAAAAUGCUAGUACACUUCCAAGCAGAGGAGUAAUCCACACUCUAACAAAGAAGAAACUAACUCUGAUAUCUGAGGUGAGUGAAGUCUCGACAAACUGUCAUGGACA
Molecule: long non-coding RNA, 268 nt
Filed under: Physcomitrium patens
Lineage: Eukaryota; Viridiplantae; Streptophyta; Bryopsida; Funariales; Funariaceae
Description: long non-coding RNA (PPAT_LNC013152)
Source: RNAcentral